Molecule: ribosomal RNA, 385 nt
Filed under: uncultured bacterium
Lineage: Bacteria
Description: bacterial SSU rRNA
Rfam family: Bacterial small subunit ribosomal RNA
Source: RNAcentral
AUUGAACGCUGGCGGCAUGCUUUACACAUGCAAGUCGAACGGCAGCGCGGGGGCAACCCUGGCGGCGAGUGGCGAACGGGUGAGUAAUGCAUCGGAACGUAUCCUGUAAAUGGGGGAUAACGUAGCGAAAGUUACGCUAAUACCGCAUACGCUCGAGAGAGGAAAGUGGGGGAUCGCAAGACCUCACGUUAUAGGAGCGGCCGAUGUCCGAUUAGCUAGUUGGUGGGGUAAAGGCCUACCAAGGCGACGAUCGGUAGCUGGUCUGAGAGGAUGAUCAGCCACACUGGGACUGAGACACGGCCCAGACUCCUACGGGAGGCAGCAGUGGGGAAUUUUGGACAAUGGGCGAAAGCCUGAUCCAGCCAUGCCGCGUGCGGGAAGAAGG